GAGUUUGACACUCCUGAUUCAAAAAGUUUUCAAGGAUGUGAGUAACAUACAAUCAGUCAAGCCUGUCCAAAUCUUUUACUGCUUAUGUAAACUUGCCUAUUUCUACUUUAGGUUCUAGUUUCACAAAGGAGGUGAGUCAGCCAGCAGCCCCAGAUCUGGGCUAUAAGCCGGGGAAAGAGGCCAUGAGAAAUAAUCCACCCAACGUGCUCUUCUUGCUGGGGGCAGAUGCAGACCGUGCUGAUGAAAGAGCAGCUGCCCAGGGACACCUUCAUCAUUUACUGUUGGCAAACCCACUUAAGGUGCUGGGUUGUGUUUCUCAAAAGCAUCGUAAGCUAGGCUGAUCGUAGAGAUCAUUGGAGGCGAUGGGUCUACUAUCUACGAUGCUUUUAGGAAACGUAGCCUGGAGUGUGGAGCAUGAUGGAUUUUAAUGACAGAUACAACUAGAGAGG
RNAcentral lists this long non-coding RNA (449 nucleotides) under Sinocyclocheilus anshuiensis. RNAcentral describes it as "lncRNA (ENSSANG00000018099.1)". The record is from RNAcentral. Lineage: Eukaryota; Metazoa; Chordata; Actinopteri; Cypriniformes; Cyprinidae.